AUGUUAGAGUGUGUGUUAGAGUGUGUGUUGGAGUGUUGGUUAGAGUGUGUGUUAGAGUGUGUUGGAGUGUUGGUUAGAGUGUGUGUUAGAGUGUGUGUUGGAGUGUUGGUUAGAGUGUGUGUUAGAGUGUGUGUUAGAGUGUGUUGGAGUGUUGGUUAGAGUGUGCGUUAGAGUGUGUGUUAGAGUGUGUGUUGGAGUGUUGGUUAGAGUGUGUGUUAGAGUGUGUUGGAGUGUUGGUUAGAGUGUAUGUUAGAGUGUGUGUUAGAGUGUGUGUUGGAGUGUUGGUUAGAGUGUGUGUUAGAGUGUGUUGGAGUGUUGGUUAGAGUGUGUGUUAGAGUGUGUGUUGGAGUGUGGUUAGAGUGUGUGUUAGAGUGUGUUGGAGUGUUGGUUAGAGUGUGUGUUAGAGUGUAUGUUAGAGUGUGUGUUGGAGUGUUGGUUAGAGUGUGUGCAAGAGUGUGUGUUAGAGUGUGUGUUGGAGUGUUGGUUAGAGUGUGUGUUGGAGUGUGUUGGAGUGUGUGUUGGAGUGUGUUGGAGUGUGUGUUGAGUGUUGGUUAGAGUGUGUGUUAGAGUGUGUGUUGGAGUGUUAAUUUACUGUGCAGAAGUGUGUGUUAGUGUUUAAAAGUGUGUAUCAGUGUGUAGAAGUGUGCGCUAGCUGCAGAACCUCAGUGGUAUACUAUUUACAGAGCAGAAACAUGACAGUGUGUAUUAUUUGUUUACUAUGAGUACCAGGUUGUUGCACACCGUAACCAUGGAAACUACUAAUGUGUGAAUAAAGUGAUAUGUGGAACUGAUAGUAACACAUGAGGACGUAUGAGGAGAUAAAUAUGUAAAUAUAUAAACAUCAUCACGUCCUCAUAUCAGUUCACAUAUCAGUCUUUAUAUAGAGAGUAUCGGUUCAUUAUAUUACUUAAUGAACAUAAAUUAUCAGGGUUCUGUAUCUGUGAGGGACUGCUCUUAGGGGAGAUGGUUCUGUAUCUGUGAGGGACUGCUCUUAGGGGAGAAGGUUCUGUACCUGUGAGGGGCUGCUCUUAGGGGAGAAGGUUCUGUACCUGUGAGGGACUGCUCUUAGGGGAGAAGGUUCUGUACCUGUGAGAGACUGCUCUUAGGGGAGAAGGUUCUGUAUAUGUGAGGG
Molecule: long non-coding RNA, 1132 nt
Organism: Ictalurus punctatus (channel catfish)
Lineage: Eukaryota; Metazoa; Chordata; Actinopteri; Siluriformes; Ictaluridae
Source: Ensembl